CCUACGGGAGGCAGCAGUCGGGAAUUUUGGGCAAUGGGCGAAAGCCUGACCCAGCAACGCCGCGUGAAGGAUGAAAUCCCUCGGGAUGUAAACUUCGCAAGAACAGGAAGAAUAAGUAAGAGUUAAUAUCUCUUACGAUGACGGUACUGUUUGUAAGCUCCGGCUAACUCCGUGCCAGCAGCCGCGGUAAUACGGGGGGAGCAAGCGUUGUUCGGAUUUACUGGGCGUAAAGGGCGCGUAGGCGGCCACCGCAAGUCGGUUGUGAAAUCUCCGGGCUUAACCCGGAAAGGUCAACCGAUACUGCGGGGCUAGAGUGCAGAAGGGGCAACUGGAAUUCUCGGUGUAGCGGUGAAAUGCGUAGAUAUCGAGAGGAACACCUGCGGCGAAGGCGGGUUGCUGGGCUGACACUGACGCUGAGGCGCGAAGGCUAGGGGAGCGAACGGGAUUAGAUACCCCGGUAGUCCUAGCCUUAAACGAUGAAUGCUUGGUGUCUGGGGUUUUAUAGUCCCCGGGUGCCGUCGCUAACGCUUUAAGCAUUCCGCCUGGGGAGUACGGUCGCAAGACUGAAACUCAAAGGAAUUGACGG
This 586-nucleotide ribosomal RNA is filed under the name uncultured bacterium. RNAcentral's name for it is "bacterial SSU rRNA". It matches the Rfam family "Bacterial small subunit ribosomal RNA", at positions 338 to 916 of the family's 1533-position model. The record is from RNAcentral.